RNAcentral lists this ribosomal RNA (1428 nucleotides) under metagenome. RNAcentral describes it as "bacterial LSU rRNA". It matches the Rfam family "Bacterial large subunit ribosomal RNA", at positions 1500 to 2925 of the family's 2925-position model. The record is from RNAcentral.
UGUUGUCCCGGUGAGAGAGUUGAGGCGGUCCCCUUAGGCAAAUCCGGGGGGGCAACGUUGAGACUAAGGACGAGCCCUUUAGGGCGAAGCUGCUGAUAUCACGCUUCCAGGAAAAUCUCCUAAGCUUCAGCUUGUGCAGACCGUACCGUAAACCGACACAGGUGGGUAGGAUGAGAAUUCUCAGGCGCUUGAGAGAACUCGGGUGAAGGAACUAGGCAAAAUAGCACCGUAACUUCGGGAGAAGGUGCGCCCCUUUUGGUUAAUAGCUGAGGGGGGCCUCAGAAACCAGGCCGCUGCGACUGUUUAUCAAAAACACAGCACUCUGCAAACACGAAAGUGGACGUAUAGGGUGUGACGCCUGCCCGGUGCUGGAAGGUUAAUUGAUGGGGUCAGCCGCAAGGCGAAGCUCUUGAUCGAAGCCCCAGUAAACGGCGGCCGUAACUAUAACGGUCCUAAGGUAGCGAAAUUCCUUGUCGGGUAAGUUCCGACCUGCACGAAUGGCGUAACGACAGCGGCGCUGUCUCCACCCGAGACUCAGUGAAAUUGAAAUCGCUGUGAAGAUGCAGCGUUCCCGUGGCAAGACGGAAAGACCCCGUGAACCUUUACUAUAGCUUUACACUGAACGUUGAGUUCUUCUGUGUAGGAUAGGUGGGAGGCUUUGAAGCGCAGGCGCUAGCUUGCGUGGAGCCAUCCUUGAAAUACCACCCUGAAGUGCUUGACGUUCUAACCUGGGCCCGUAAUCCGGGUCGGGGACCGUGUAUGGUGGGUAGUUUGACUGGGGCGGUCUCCUCCCAAAGAGUAACGGAGGAGCUCGAAGGUACGCUCAGCGCAGUCGGACAUCGCGCACUGUGUGCAAAGGCAUAAGCGUGCUUGACUGCAAGAUCGACGGAUCAAGCAGGUAGGAAACUAGGACUUAGUGAUCCGGUGGUUCUGUAUGGAAGGGCCAUCGCUCAACGGAUAAAAGGUACUCCGGGGAUAACAGGCUGAUACCGCCCAAGAGUUCAUAUCGACGGCGGUGUUUGGCACCUCGAUGUCGGCUCAUCACAUCCUGGGGCUGUAGUCGGUCCCAAGGGUAUGGCUGUUCGCCAUUUAAAGUGGUACGCGAGCUGGGUUCAGAACGUCGUGAGACAGUUCGGUCCCUAUCUGUCAUGGGCGUUGGAGAUUUGAGAGGGGCUGCUCCUAGUACGAGAGGACCGGAGUGGACGAAUCUCUGGUGUUCCGGUUGUCACGCCAGUGGCAUUGCCGGGUAGCUAUAUUCGGAAGCGAUAACCGCUGAAAGCAUCUAAGCGGGAAGCGCGCCUCAAGAUGAGAUCUCCCGGGGCACAAGCCCCCUAAAGGAACCAUCAAGACUAGGUGGUUGAUAGGCAGGGUGUGUAAGCACAGCAAUGUGUUGAGCUAACCUGUACUAAUGAUCCGUGUGGCUUGACC